GGCCUGUUGCACAAAAGUAGAAUUAAGACAUCCGGGAUAAAUGACUCAGCUGAGCUCAAUGAAGCCAAAACAUGUGCGUCCAGGCUUAAUUGGUUGCACAAAGACCAAGCCAGGAUGAGCAGACACGGAUUCAUUAAGCCAGGUGAAACCAAUCCUGGAUAGGUGCGCGCUCACGGCUCACUCAAAUAGACCCCGCCACAGAUCACAGAUGAACUGAUUUACCAUGGCAACUAGAGCCGCGUACUUUUCCCCGUCGGAAGCACAAAUCCUCAUGGAGGCAUACGUAUUGCAGACCGCCUGAAUGCGUAAGUAGUGCACAAUUACACACUCACCGCUCCGCUGAAACAUCACAAUUACAAUUCAAAUAUUUAAUUCACAUCUCCAAAAAUGCAGUUGUACUGUAAUUAUGAAACGGUUAAAUUUUUAAUUGAAAUGCACUGCAGAUAUGAGUGAAAUUGUGUAAAGUAACUCCAUCACACUGUUUAAAGCUAUGAUACAUUCUUUGAUAUUUUUACUGAAAACAAGACAAAAAUACCAAGUAAUUUUUUGCAGUGUGACUCCAUUAAAUGUGUGUGUGUGUGUGUGUGUGUGUGUGUGUGUGUGUGUGUGUGUGUGUGUGUGUGUGUGUGUGUGUGUGUGUGUGUAGAUUAAACAUGAACGGGCCAAAACGGACAUGGCAGCAGGUCAAAAUCAAAUACAAGAACAUUCUGCAGAAUGCAGUGAAAAAGAAUACCCACAGACAAGGCACGGGUGGUGGGUCACCAAAGGCUGACCUUACCCCAGCAGAGGACAUGGCCUUGGAGCUAAAUAAAGGCAGGCCCGUCUUAGAGGGGAUCCCUGGGGGGAAAGAGACGAGCAUAGGUUCCUCCCAAGAUGCCACCCGCUUCAUUCAAGUGCCUGGCAGCACUGUGUUCCUGUUAGAGCCACCAGCACAAGCACCAGACGAUGCUGAUCCAGGUGAAGGCCCCAGUGCAGCAGCAACAGCACAUGAUGGAGACGAUGAUGAGGAGGAGACCAUCUCUCUGGAUUCCAGAAGGCAUGAGGACCCAGAUGCUAUACAGUGGGAAAACCAGCCUGGCAACAUAGUGCGUAUUAAUAAAAGGACACCACAUCCUGCCAAAUUCCAGCUGCGCUAAUUGUAUUGUGUUCACAGAGCUCACAAGCUAUCAGAAAGUUGUAUGGCAACCACCUCCGGCGCCAAAUAGAACUGGCAGACAUAGACAUUCAGUACAAGAAGAAAAAGAUAGAAAAUCUUGCACUGGAGUCCGAAAUAAAAAAGAGGACAAUUAGGAAACUGGACCUUGAAAUAAAAAAACUUGCGAGGGAGCUCCAAGAAGAUGACACAGCUCAAAAUAAAAAUUAGCAAUCAGUACAACCAAGUCAUCGUUAUAAGGCAUCGCCCUCUUUUGCCCACCCCCAGCACCAGGUGUGGCCACUAGCCUAUAUGAAGGCCCAAAAUUGUGUGUUCCUUUCUGCUCUGACAAUGGCAUGCCCAUUCGUGCGAGAUGUGGUGGAUGAAGAAGCACUUGUGCUGAGGAGAGCCUUCAGGCGAGAAAGGGUCUUCAGGGACCGGUUGGACCCACUGGCCUUCCCUGAUGACCAUCUAUAUGAAAGAUACAGGUUUUCUGCAGAUGGCAUCAGGUAUCUAUGCAGACUACUGGGUCCCAGGAUUAAGCACCGCACUGCACGGAGCCAUGCACUGAGUGUGGAGCAAAUGGUUUGUGUGGCCUUGCGCUUUUUUGCUAGUGGAGCCUUCCUGUACUCAGUGGGGGAUGCAGAACAGCUGAACAAGGCCACAAUUUGCCGCACAAUAAGGAGUGUGUGUCUGGCUAUCAAAGCAUUAGCAGAUGUCUUCAUCUCCUUCCCUGGCCACAGAAGACUCUGUGACAUCAAAGAGGAGUUCUAUAGGAUUGCAGAUGGUCUGCAAUGCUGACUGUGUGAUCAGCAAUGUUGUGGCAAAAUGGCCUGGCUCAGUCCAUGACUCCAGAAUCUUUCGGGCCUCUGAAAUCUAUCAGUGCCUAUCACAAGGUGAAUUCUCUGGUGUGUUGCUGGGAGACAGGGGUAUGGCUGCCAGCCUUUUCUCCUGACACCUUUCACAGACCCCAGGAAGCACAGCAGGCCUACAACCAUGCCCAUGCCAGGACCAGGGCCAGAGUUGAAAUGACCUUUGGCCUCCUGAAGGCACGCUUUCACUGCCUUCACAAAUUAAGGGUCAGCCCUGUUAGGGCAUGUGAUAUUACUGUGGCUUGUGCUGUCCUCCACAAUGUGGCCUGCCUGAGGAAGGAGAGGGCCCCCAGAGUGCCACCAGCCAUGGACUGGGACAAUCCGGCAAUCUUCCCUGAUGACGACAGUGGUCGGCUGCUGAGGGACCAAUAUGUGUUGAAUUAUUUUAGUUAGUAUGUGUGCUUUCAAUUUUGGUUAAAUAUGUCCUGCGGUGGCAGAGGAAUUUGGG
Molecule: RNA transcript, 2452 nt
Organism: Oncorhynchus nerka (sockeye salmon)
Lineage: Eukaryota; Metazoa; Chordata; Actinopteri; Salmoniformes; Salmonidae
Exons: 9
Source: RefSeq, a predicted model, not a curated record